Caenorhabditis brenneri is the source of this 63-nucleotide non-coding RNA. The record is from Rfam. NCBI's taxonomy places the organism in Eukaryota, Metazoa, Nematoda, Chromadorea, Rhabditida, Rhabditidae.
AGCUGAUUUUUCCUUGUUUAUGAGUCCAAAAAUAAUGCUCAUGAACAGGAGUAAAUCAGCUCU